Molecule: ribosomal RNA, 481 nt
Filed under: uncultured soil bacterium
Lineage: Bacteria
Description: bacterial SSU rRNA
Rfam family: Bacterial small subunit ribosomal RNA
Source: RNAcentral
AGAUUGAACGCUGGCGGCAUGCUUUACACAUGCAAGUCGAACGGUAACAGGCCGCAAGGUGCUGACGAGUGGCGAACGGGUGAGUAAUGCAUCGGAACGUGCCCAGUCGUGGGGGGAUAACGCAGCGAAAGCUGUGCUAAUACCGCAUACGAUCUAUGGAUGAAAGCGGGGGACCGAAAGGCCUCGCGCGAUUGGAGCGGCCGAUGUCAGAUUAGCUAGUUGGUGGGGUAAAGGCCCACCAAGGCGACGAUCUGUAGCUGGUCUGAGAGGACGACCAGCCACACUGGAACUGAGACACGGUCCAGACUCCUACGGGAGGCAGCAGUGGGGAAUUUUGGACAAUGGGCGCAAGCCUGAUCCAGCAAUGCCGCGUGCAGGAAGAGGCCUUCGGUGUAACUGACUUUGUACGGAAGAACGUCUGGUAAUACCUGGCUAAUGACGUACCGUAAGAAUAAGCACCGACUAACUACGUGCCAGCAGA